This 253-nucleotide ribosomal RNA is filed under the name uncultured bacterium. RNAcentral describes it as "partial 16S ribosomal RNA". It matches the Rfam family "Bacterial small subunit ribosomal RNA", at positions 524 to 776 of the family's 1533-position model. The record is from RNAcentral.
GACGGAGGGAGCAAGCGUUGUUCGGAUUUACUGGGCGUAAAGGGCGUCUAGGCGGACCAGCCAGUCAGGUGUGAAAUCCCCCGGCUCAACCGGGGAUCUGCACUUGAUACUGCUGGUCUUGAGUACGGAAGAGGAAGGCGGAAUUCCUGGUGUAGCGGUGAAAUGCGUAGAUAUCAGGAAGAACACCGGUGGCGAAGGCGGCCUUCUGGUCCGAUACUGACGCUAAAGCGCGAAAGUGUGGGGAGCAAACAGG